UGGAUCAGCUAAAGGGACAGUGGAAAAGAUUGAGUCCUCAAAAGUGGUUACCGAAGUCAAACGCGUGUAUAACGUUACCAUGGAUUACCUAGAGGACGUGUAUGACUGGACAGUCGGGAAACUGUGGUCAAAGUGGGAGAGUCUGACUGGAUAGGGUGGGGACACAGAAGAACUCUUCACAAUUUGAACUUGGAGCAACGUGGGCUGUAAAUCAUAUGUAUGAAAUAUUAUGUAUGUUCAUUAAAAUAAUUAAGUGCUAA
Molecule: long non-coding RNA, 260 nt
Organism: Spea bombifrons (plains spadefoot toad)
Lineage: Eukaryota; Metazoa; Chordata; Amphibia; Anura; Pelobatidae
Exons: 2
Source: RefSeq, a predicted model, not a curated record